This 585-nucleotide ribosomal RNA is filed under the name Penicillium chrysogenum. RNAcentral describes it as "eukaryotic LSU rRNA". The stretch from base 207 to 359 matches the Rfam family "5.8S ribosomal RNA". Lineage: Eukaryota; Fungi; Ascomycota; Eurotiomycetes; Eurotiales; Aspergillaceae. The record is from RNAcentral. RNAcentral also lists the same sequence under 2 other names.
UCCGUAGGUGAACCUGCGGAAGGAUCAUUACCGAGUGAGGGCCCUCUGGGUCCAACCUCCCACCCGUGUUUAUUUUACCUUGUUGCUUCGGCGGGCCCGCCUUAACUGGCCGCCGGGGGGCUUACGCCCCCGGGCCCGCGCCCGCCGAAGACACCCUCGAACUCUGUCUGAAGAUUGUAGUCUGAGUGAAAAUAUAAAUUAUUUAAAACUUUCAACAACGGAUCUCUUGGUUCCGGCAUCGAUGAAGAACGCAGCGAAAUGCGAUACGUAAUGUGAAUUGCAAAUUCAGUGAAUCAUCGAGUCUUUGAACGCACAUUGCGCCCCCUGGUAUUCCGGGGGGCAUGCCUGUCCGAGCGUCAUUGCUGCCCUCAAGCACGGCUUGUGUGUUGGGCCCCGUCCUCCGAUCCCGGGGGACGGGCCCGAAAGGCAGCGGCGGCACCGCGUCCGGUCCUCGAGCGUAUGGGGCUUUGUCACCCGCUCUGUAGGCCCGGCCGGCGCUUGCCGAUCAACCCAAAUUUUUAUCCAGGUUGACCUCGGAUCAGGUAGGGAUACCCGCUGAACUUAAGCAUAUCAAUAAGCGGAGGA